ACAUUCGUUGCUCUUCAUCCCGAAUAAAUCUUUCACCUUUUACUUAAGAUGUCUGUGGAGAGAAACAAUUAUGAGUUUCAUAUAAUUUUUUUCAUAUCAUGGCAAAAGCUGAAUU
Hyla sarda is the source of this 115-nucleotide small nuclear RNA. RefSeq annotates it as U5 spliceosomal RNA. NCBI's taxonomy places the organism in Eukaryota, Metazoa, Chordata, Amphibia, Anura, Hylidae. The transcript has a single exon. The record is from RefSeq and is a predicted model, not a curated record.